Long non-coding RNA from Myotis myotis, 747 nucleotides. RefSeq lists it as uncharacterized. NCBI's taxonomy places the organism in Eukaryota, Metazoa, Chordata, Mammalia, Chiroptera, Vespertilionidae. The record is from RefSeq and is a predicted model, not a curated record. The transcript has 3 exons.
AUGACAUGAUUGACCCAGUAAGAAGUCACCAUGACAUGAUUGAAUCCUGGACUCAUCAACAUCACAGGAAGAGAGGGGCUUUGGGGAUUAAGUCUGAAAUAACGGAAGAGCUCCCAUUCAAACCAUGUGACCAGAGGAGAAAAGUGGAUAUAUUUUGCCUAUAGUAGAGGCCCUAUGUAAAGCCGUCUAAACAAGCUGUGGAAGAAAGUCACCAUGAGGACAGCAGGAGGAAAAGCCACCUUCUUAAUGCCAAGAGGAUGAAGUUUUCUGUGGACCAAUAUGAAAAGCAUCUUUGAAGCAAUACGAAGAGCAAACAUAUACAGAACAACAUGACUCCUAAAUCUGUUGUUUAUAUCUUAAUUGAAUAUGUGGUCAGUGGUAAAGAUAAAAUUAGGUGGUUAACAAGAAGGCCUCAAGCAUGUGUGCCUGUGCUUAUAUGUGCUUUUUAAACCAGUCACUCAUUCUUUCCUUCUUUCUAUACCAGAUCUCACUCUGGAUGCCUGAUACUACCCCAAAUAUAGUGUCAUUCACUUCCAGACCAAGUCAUGCUGCCUCAUUCAACCUCAUUUGCUAUAAAAUUGGGAGACUUUUAACGUCAUUUUAGCUCUUCAGUAUGAUAACCAAGAUGCCUCUUGGAUAGCUCCUUCCAAAUAUGUGUUAACCAAGUUAUUUUCUCUGAUCAAAAUGAUGCAGAGAUCAUAUAAUUAUUUGUCAUUACACUCCCUGGUUUAUAAACACCGGUUUGGG